UCUUACAACUCUCUUUAGGUCUCUCCCAAUCUUCUAUGAAAUAGAUAUAUUUGACAAAACAUUUAUGGGGAAGAGUACUUCUACUUACAUGCUCACGAUAGCUUUCCUUCCUCAUAAUAUCUGGUGCAGAUAUUAAAAGAGUGCCAUUAGAACCCAAAAGACAUGUCAGAGAAGAUAUUUCUAUGUUGACACAGAGGAAAGUUAUACAUAACGAAGAUGAAGAUCAUUUGGAUAAGACACUUUCUAUUGAUACUGCCAAAAGUUCUUCAGACUUUGAAACUAUCCAAAUUCAGAAAAAAGGUAAUCUACUUUAUCAAAUUUGUUAAUAUUGCAGUGGGUAUUAUUUUAUAGUAACUGUUAUGCUCAAUCAUUUUUGUUGAGCAUCACCAAUAUUCUCCUCGAUUCAUGGUCAUAAUUUUUUAGCUGCAAGCUGAAAUCUGAGGCUUAGAAUGACUAAUGUCAACACUUACAUGUUUAGAUGAAGCAUUUUCAUUGGCAUGGGAGAUCGAUUGCGUUCCUGCUUCUUAUCUGUCUUAUUGUGAAGUCAUCAAUGAUUAUUAGAGCAUAUGAAUUGUUCAUGUUUUCCGCUUCAUAUUCCUGUAUGAGUUCACUUUAUGGAAAUGGUAAAGAUAAAAUUCUGCUGGUUUUUAAAGCUAA
Molecule: long non-coding RNA, 657 nt
Filed under: Gossypium barbadense (sea-island cotton)
Lineage: Eukaryota; Viridiplantae; Streptophyta; Magnoliopsida; Malvales; Malvaceae
Description: long non-coding RNA (GBAR_LNC016984)
Source: RNAcentral